CAGCAGCCGCGGUAAUACGGAGGGUGCAAGCGUUAUCCGGAUUCACCGGGUUUAAAGGGUGCGUAGGCGGAUAGAUAAGUCAGUGGUGAAAGACGGUGGCUCAACCAUCGCAGUGCCGUUGAUACUGUUUAUCUUGAAUAUGGAUGAGGUAGGCGGAAUGUGGCAAGUAGCGGUGAAAUGCAUAGAUAUGCCACAGAACACCGGUGGCGAAGGCGGUUCUCUGGGAAUGUUUUGACGCUGAGGAGCGAAAGUGUGGGGAGCGAACAGGAUUAGAUGACCCCCGUAGUCCCUGUCUCUUAUU
This 301-nucleotide ribosomal RNA is filed under the name uncultured bacterium. RNAcentral's name for it is "partial 16S ribosomal RNA". It matches the Rfam family "Bacterial small subunit ribosomal RNA", at positions 509 to 808 of the family's 1533-position model. The record is from RNAcentral.